This 308-nucleotide ribosomal RNA is filed under the name uncultured bacterium. RNAcentral's name for it is "bacterial SSU rRNA". It matches the Rfam family "Bacterial small subunit ribosomal RNA", at positions 30 to 334 of the family's 1533-position model. The record is from RNAcentral.
AUUGAACGCUGGCGGCAUGCCUAACACAUGCAAGUCGAACGGUAACGCGGAGAGCUUGCUCUCUGGCGACGAGUGGCGGACGGGUGAGUAAUACUUAGGAAUCUGCCCAAUAGUGGGGGACAACAUUCGGAAACGGAUGCUAAUACCGCAUACGCACUACGGUGGAAAGUGGGGGACCUUCGGGCCUCACGCUAUUGGAUGAGCCUAAGUCGGAUUAGCUUGUUGGUGAGGUAAAAGCUCACCAAGGCGACGAUCCGUAGCUGGUCUGAGAGGACGAUCAGCCACACUGGGACUGAGACACGGCCCAG